UUAUGACGGGCGGCGGCCUACACAUGCAGUCGAGCGGUAGAGAGAAGCUUGCUUCUCUUGAGAGCGGAGGACGGGUGAGUAAUGCCUAGGAAUCUGCCUGGUAGUGGGGGAUAACGCUCGGAAACGGACGCUAAUACCGCAUACGUCCUACGGGAGAAAGCAGGGGACCUUCGGGCCUUGCGCUAUCAGAUGAGCCUAGGUCGGAUUAGCUAGUUGGUGAGGUAAUGGCCCACCAAGGCGACGAUCCGUAACUGGUCUGAGAGGAUGAUCAGUCACACUGGAACUGAGACACGGUCCAGACUCCUACGGGAGGCAGCAGUGGGGAAUAUUGGACAAUGGGCGAAAGCCUGAUCCAGCCAUGCCGCGUGUGUGAAGAAGGUCUUCGGAUUGUAAAGCACUUUAAGUUGGGAGGAAGGGCAUUAACCUAAUACGUUAGUGUUUUGACGUUACCGACAGAAUAAGCACCGGCUAACUCUGUGCCAGCAGCCGCGGUAAU
Molecule: ribosomal RNA, 496 nt
Filed under: uncultured bacterium
Lineage: Bacteria
Description: bacterial SSU rRNA
Rfam family: Bacterial small subunit ribosomal RNA
Source: RNAcentral